GAUGAACGCUGGCGGCGUGCCUAAUACAUGCCAGUCGAGCGAACAGACGAGGAGCUUGCUCCUCUGACGUUAGCGGCGGACGGGUGAGUAACACGUGGAUAACCUACCUAUAAGACUGGGAUAACUUCGGGAAACCGGAGCUAAUACCGGAUAAUAUAUUGAACCGCAUGGUUCAAUAGUGAAAGACGGUUUUGCUGUCACUUAUAGAUGGAUCCGCGCCGCAUUAGCUAGUUGGUAAGGUAACGGCUUACCAAGGCGACGAUGCGUAGCCGACCUGAGAGGGUGAUCGGCCACACUGGAACUGAGACACGGUCCAGGCUCCUACGGGAGGCAGCAGUAGGGAAUCUUCCGCAAUGGGCGAAAGCCUGACGGAGCAACGCCGCGUGAGUGAUGAAGGUCUUCGGAUCGUAAAACUCUGUUAUUAGGGAAGAACAAAUGUGUAAGUAACUAUGCACGUCUUGACGGUACCUAAUCAGAAAGCCACGGCUAACUACGUG
RNAcentral lists this ribosomal RNA (497 nucleotides) under uncultured bacterium. RNAcentral's name for it is "partial 16S ribosomal RNA". It matches the Rfam family "Bacterial small subunit ribosomal RNA", at positions 28 to 507 of the family's 1533-position model. The record is from RNAcentral.